GCUGGAUAUUAUUAUCUAUGAGAGAGAACUGCUUGGCCCACGAUGAGAGAGAACUGGUAGAGAAGUGCUAAAAGUAAGUGUAAGUUAACAAGCCUCCUCGUUGAGCAGCCGCCUGAGCUUUCUCUUUGUUUAGAAUUGAAAGAGAAGUUUUUGAUAGUGGGGUGCGUGGUGUAUUAAAAGUGGAUAUAGACCCCGGACAAGAAAGCCUUUUCUUAAGCAC
This 220-nucleotide long non-coding RNA is filed under the name Oryza brachyantha (malo sina). RNAcentral describes it as "long non-coding RNA (OBRA_LNC003474)". The record is from RNAcentral. Lineage: Eukaryota; Viridiplantae; Streptophyta; Magnoliopsida; Poales; Poaceae.